GCCUCAUACAGGGGGAUAGCAGCUGGAAACGGCUGAUAAAACCGCAUAAGCGCACAGUAUCGCAUGAUGCAGUGUGAAAAACUCCGGUGGUAUGAGAUGGACCCGCGUCUGAUUAGCUGGUUGGUGAGGUAACGGCCCACCAAGGCGACGAUCAGUAGCCGGCCUGAGAGGGUGACCGGCCACAUUGGGACUGAGACACGGCCCAA
This 206-nucleotide ribosomal RNA is filed under the name uncultured bacterium. RNAcentral describes it as "partial 16S ribosomal RNA". It matches the Rfam family "Bacterial small subunit ribosomal RNA", at positions 128 to 334 of the family's 1533-position model. The record is from RNAcentral.